GACCUGGACAUGGUCGGCGAGGCGUCAAAUCAUGUCAGCUUCCGCCACUCCAAUGUGUGUGGCCGACACCCUAAUUAAAAGAAUCCUCCAUGGUUAGUCUAUUUAAUGUUUAGGUUUAGUAUAGUUACAUUAAUUUAGUGUAAAUUUAGCCUAGUAGAAAAUGACAUGUGGGCUGCCCCCUCCGUGUUUGACCAGUCAAAUUGACUUGGUCAGCCCGAAUUAAAUCAAAUCCAAAAGUUUUUUAAACUUUGAAAAAUCAUAUAAAAUAAACCAUAACUCUGAUGAAAAUAAUUUAUAUAUGAAAAACAAUCAGAAAAAUAUAAUGAAUUCGAGUAGGCCAUCCACAUACCCGUCACAUCCCUCUAACAUGAUGAACAUGGACAUUUGC
This 388-nucleotide long non-coding RNA is filed under the name Hordeum vulgare. RNAcentral describes it as "long non-coding RNA (HVUL_LNC019313)". The record is from RNAcentral. Lineage: Eukaryota; Viridiplantae; Streptophyta; Magnoliopsida; Poales; Poaceae.